RNAcentral lists this ribosomal RNA (173 nucleotides) under [Chrysosporium] filiforme. Its description in RNAcentral is "5.8S ribosomal RNA". The stretch from base 2 to 155 matches the Rfam family "5.8S ribosomal RNA". Rfam says of the family: 5.8S ribosomal RNA (5.8S rRNA) is a component of the large subunit of the eukaryotic ribosome. It is transcribed by RNA polymerase I as part of the 45S precursor that also contains 18S and 28S rRNA. Lineage: Eukaryota; Fungi; Ascomycota; Leotiomycetes; Helotiales. The record is from RNAcentral.
AAACUUUCAACAACGGAUCUCUUGGUUCUGGCAUCGAUGAAGAACGCAGCGAAAUGCGAUAAGUAAUGUGAAUUGCAGAAUUCAGUGAAUCAUCGAAUCUUUGAACGCACAUUGCGCCCCUUGGUAUUCCGGGGGGCAUGCCUGUUCGAGCGUCAUUAUAACCAAUCUAGCCU